CGCAGCCGCGGUAAUUCCAGCUCCAAUAGCGUAUAUUAAAGUUGUUGCAGUUAAAAAGCUCGUAGUUGAAUUUCGGGAUUGACACAUCGGUCGUGCCUUAAGGGGUAUGAACUGGUGUAGUCAAUUUCUCACCUUCUGGAGAACCGCGAUGCCCUUAAUUGGGUGUCACGGGGAACCAGGACCUUUACUUUGAAAAAAUUAGAGUGUUUAAAGCAGGCAUUUUGCUUGAAUACAUUAGCAUGGAAUAAUAAAAUAGGACGGCAUGGUUCUAUUUUGUUGGUUUCUAGGAUCACCGUAAUGAUUAAUAGGGAUAGUUGGGGGCAUUAGUAUUCAAUUGUCAGUGGUGAAAUUCUUGGAUUUAUUGAAGACUAACUACUGCGAAAGCAUUUGCCAAGGAUGUUUUCAUUAAUCAAGAACGAAAGUCAGGGGAUCGAAGACGAUCAGAUACCGUCGUAGUCUUAACCAUAAACUAUGCCGACUAGGAAUCAGACGAUGUUAAUUUUUUAAUGACUCG
This 514-nucleotide ribosomal RNA is filed under the name uncultured Entrophospora. RNAcentral describes it as "SSU rRNA". It matches the Rfam family "Eukaryotic small subunit ribosomal RNA", at positions 569 to 1078 of the family's 1831-position model. Lineage: Eukaryota; Fungi; Glomeromycota; Glomeromycetes; Entrophosporales; Entrophosporaceae. The record is from RNAcentral.